RNAcentral lists this ribosomal RNA (635 nucleotides) under Nippononebria changbaiensis. RNAcentral's name for it is "partial large subunit ribosomal RNA". The stretch from base 390 to 548 matches the Rfam family "Bacterial large subunit ribosomal RNA", at positions 2473 to 2632 of the family's 2925-position model. Lineage: Eukaryota; Metazoa; Arthropoda; Insecta; Coleoptera; Carabidae. The record is from RNAcentral.
GUCCUUUUGAUAUAAAUUUAAGGUCUAGCCUGCCCACUGAAUAAUUUUUAAAUGGCCGCAGUAAUUUGACUGUGCAAAGGUAGCAUAAUAAUUAGUUUUUUAAUUAAAAGCUUGUAUGAAAGGUUGGACGAAAUAAAAUCUGUCUCUAUUUAAUUUAAUUUAGAAUUUAAUUUUUAAGUUAAAAAGCUUAAAUAUUAUUAAAAGACGAGAAGACCCUAUAGAUCUUUAUAAUUUUUAUUUUAAAUUUAAUUAAGAAUUUUUAAUUUUUUAUUUUAAAAAUUAUUUUAUUGGGGUAAUAUAAAGAUUAAAAUAAUUCUUUUUAUUUAUAAACAUUUAUUUAUGAUUUUAAUGAUCCAAUUAUAUUGAUUAUAAGAUUAAGUUACCUUAGGGAUAACAGCGUAAUUUUCUUGAAGAGUUCUUAUCAAUAAGAAAGUUUGCGACCUCGAUGUUGGAUUAAAGAUUAUUUUAGGUGUAGAAGCUUAAAAUUUUGGUCUGUUCGACCAUUAAAUCUUUACAUGAUCUGAGUUCAGACCGGCGUAAGCCAGGUUGGUUUCUAUCUUUAAUAAUUUAAAAUAUUUUAGUACGAAAGGACCAAAUAUUUAAUAUAUUUAUAUUUAAUUUUUGAAUAUUAUUAA